This 1883-nucleotide ribosomal RNA is filed under the name human gut metagenome. Its description in RNAcentral is "bacterial LSU rRNA". It matches the Rfam family "Bacterial large subunit ribosomal RNA", at positions 334 to 2199 of the family's 2925-position model. The record is from RNAcentral.
GGAACGGCAUGGGAGGGCCGGCCGCAGCGGGUGACAGCCCCGUACGCGAACCCAGACCGGACGGCGCGACGCGGUCCCUGAGUAGGGCCGGGCACGUGAAACCCGGUCCGAACCUGGGUGGACCACCAUCCAAGCCUGAGUACUACCCUGUGACCGAUAGCGCACCAGUACCGUGAGGGAAAGGUGAAAAGCACCCCGGGAGGGGAGUGAAACAGUACCUGAAACCGUGCGCCCACGAGCAGUCGGAGCAACUUUCAGUUGUGACGGCGUGCCUUUUGUAGAAUGAGCCAGCGAGUCGCUGGCGCGGGGCGAGGUUAACCGAAAGGGAGCCGGAGCGAAAGCGAGCCUUAACAGGGCGACUUGAGUCCCGCGCCGCGGACGCGAAGCCGGGUGAGCUAUCCGUGGGCAGGCUGAAGCGGGGGUAAGACCCCGUGGAGGGCCGAACGCACGUCGGUUGAAAACGGCGGCGAUGACCUGCGGAUAGGGGUGAAAGGCCAAUCAAACCCGGAGAUAUCUCGUUCUCCCCGAAAUAGCUUUAGGGCUAGCGUCGCGCGUUCACCGCCGGAGGUAGAGCACCGGAUGGACGAGGGGGCUUCGCCGCCUACCGAAUCCAACCGAACUCCGAAUGCCGGCGGCCCAGAGCGCGGCAGUCAGAGCAUGUGGGCUAAGCUGUGUGCUCGAGAGGGAAACAGCCCGGACCGCCCGCUAAGGUCCCCAAGUUCCAGCCGAGUGGCAAAGGAUGUGCGUCCGCCCAGACAACCAGGAUGUUGGCUUAGAAGCAGCCAUCCAUUCAAAGAGUGCGUAACAGCUCACUGGUCGAGUGGACAUGCGCCGACAAUACACGGGGCUAAGCUGGACACCGAAGCGGCGGGAUUUUGAUUUACAGAAUCGGUAGGGGAGCUUCCCAUGGGCGGCGAAGCCGGAGGGCGACCGACGGUGGAGCGCAUGGGAGUGAGAAUGCUGGCAUGAGUAGCGAGAGACGAGAGAGUAACUCGUCCGCCGUGAACCCGAGGUUUCCUGGGCAAGGCUAAUCCUCCCAGGGUCAGUCGGGGGCUAAGGCGAGGCCGGGAGGCGUAGCCGACGCGCAGCAGGCAGACAUUCCUGCACCGCGCACGCGGCGCUACGACCGACGGGGCGACGGAUGGGGGUGGCUCGGCGGGGUUCUGGACGUCCCCGUGAUGGAGCGCGGCCCGCGGACCAGGGAAAUCCGGUCCGCACACAGGGCGAGGCUCCGGACGAAGCACUUAAGCGAAGCGAGUGAGCCCGAGGUCCCUAGAAAAACCCCUAGGCAGGCGCGUGCGCGCCCGUACCGCAAACCGACACAGGUGGGUGGGUAGAACAUACCGAGGCGAUCGGGUCAACCAUGGUCAAGGAACUCGGCACAAUGGCCCCGUAACUUCGGGAGAAGGGGUGCCCGCGCGUACGUGAACGGACUUGCUCCGGGAGCGGAGGCGGGCCGCAGUGGAGAGGCCCAAGCGACUGUUUACCAAAAACACAGGACUCUGCAGAAGCCGCAAGGCGACGUAUAGGGUCUGACGCCUGCCCGGUGCCGGAAGGUCACGCGGAGGAGUUAGCGCAUCGCGCGAAGCCCCGAAGCCAAGCCCCGGUAAACGGCGGCCGUAACUAUAACGGUCCUAAGGUAGCGAAAUUCCUUGUCGGGUAAGUUCCGACCUGCACGAAAGGCGCAACGACUUGGGCGCUGUCUCGACCAUGGACCCGGUGAAAUUGCACUGGUCGUGAAGAUGCGACUUACCCGCGGAAGGACGGAAAGACCCCGUGAACCUUCACUGCAGCUUGGCAUUGGCCGCUGGUCCCGCGUGUAGAGGAUAGGCAGGAGGCACAGAUCCGGAGGCGCCAGCCCCCGGGGAGCCGCCCUUGGAAUA